AGUGAGAAGUGUUCCGGUAAUCA
This 23-nucleotide non-coding RNA is filed under the name Arabidopsis thaliana (thale cress). The record is from RNAcentral. Lineage: Eukaryota; Viridiplantae; Streptophyta; Magnoliopsida; Brassicales; Brassicaceae.